Molecule: ribosomal RNA, 471 nt
Filed under: uncultured bacterium
Lineage: Bacteria
Description: partial 16S ribosomal RNA
Rfam family: Bacterial small subunit ribosomal RNA
Source: RNAcentral
GACGAACGCUGGCGGCGUGCUUAACACAUGCAAGUCGAACGAUGAAGCCUAGCUUGCUAGGUGGAUUAGUGGCGAACGGGUGAGUAAUACGUGAGUAACCUACCUUUAACUCUGGGAUAAGCCUGGGAAACUGGGUCUAAUACCGGAUACGACCAAUCUCCGCAUGGGGUGUUGGUGGAAAGCGUUAUGUAGUGGUUAUAGAUGGGCUCACGGCCUAUCAGCUUGUUGGUGAGGUAACGGCUCACCAAGGCGACAACGGGUAGCCGGCCUGAGAGGGUGACCGGCCACACUGGGACUGAGACACGGCCCAGACUCCUACGGGAGGCAGCAGUGGGGAAUAUUGCACAAUGGGCGCAAGCCUGAUGCAGCGACGCCGCGUGAGGGAUGACGGCCUUCGGGUUGUAAACCUCUGUUAGCAGGGAAGAAGAGAGAUUGACGGUACCUGCAGAGAAAGCGCCGGCUAACUACGUG